AGAGGCAGCACUGAGCAGAGCCCCAGCAGUGCUGGCGAAUUGGGGCUGAGGGCGCUGCGGAUGUGAUGAGCAGAUUACGAUGCCCAUGCACUACAGCUGCUGUCUGCGAGGAGCUGGGGAGCUUUGAAGGUGACAAAGCCAGCAGGAUGCACAGAGAACCCGGCAUCACUGAACAGAAGGGAUCCAGGCAGAGACUGAAGUGAAGCAGCUGGUGAACCACCUGUGUUACAGCCACAGAGAGCAGCAGUGCCACAGCCUUACUGACACACACCCGGCUCCUUAUCCUGUGCUCACAGCACACAUUUGGGCAGGACUCAGCUGCUCAGAU
Molecule: long non-coding RNA, 328 nt
Organism: Lagopus leucura (white-tailed ptarmigan)
Lineage: Eukaryota; Metazoa; Chordata; Aves; Galliformes; Phasianidae
Exons: 3
Source: RefSeq, a predicted model, not a curated record